Molecule: long non-coding RNA, 250 nt
Filed under: Brassica napus (rape)
Lineage: Eukaryota; Viridiplantae; Streptophyta; Magnoliopsida; Brassicales; Brassicaceae
Description: long non-coding RNA (BNAP_LNC017321)
Source: RNAcentral
AGUUUCAGUAAGUUCACUACUCACAAUGACUGGGUAAGUUUCAUUAGGACUAAGGAACGCAUACCUUGCACCAUUGGGGAGAGGUUUAAGCUCCACUUUAGGCGCCUUAAGCUCGCUCCAGUCGUCUUGCUGGGCGUCCUCUUGUUAAAUGACUAAGGUUUCUUGAUGAACCACUUGUGGCAGCUCCUCAUAUAGAUCCUUACUACCAAAUCCUCUGUGUGAAUCCAUCAUCAUCCCGUAGGCAGCACUC